AAAUAUUCAGUGAAAUAUACCAAAUGUCUGAAUCAAAUACUGAGAUCUCCUUACCUCUUGCUUCUGUACAAGCUUUAGGAUCAAUAUUUAAAAUGAUCACAGGUGGCUAUAUUUAGCAGUAAACUCCACAGGAAAGGAAAGCUCUGCAUUCUGUGCAAAAGCAUGGAGAAUGGAUCGCAAUCUGGCACCGACCUUAUCCAGCAUGGGUCACUUCUACUCAGGUCCCCACCAGAGUGGAGCAGGUGCCAUCUGCCUCAAGCCCAGUGGGCAGCGCCGACCGGAGCAGGAGCCAGAGUAGGAGAGCUGCCUCCGCAGCGCAAUCCUCCUCUGUCAGCACCAACUGGGCUGCGACACCUCAGACGCCUGGAGCUCACACUCGCAGAACCGGCUCCACCAGCAUGGCUCCUCCCACCAGCCUCGCAAAGGAAAAACAAAAAGACUGCUCCACAACUGAAAAUCCAGAAGGAAAUCCAUUUCCUGAGUAUAGACUCUUUCACCCACUUGCCAGGACAGGGAUCAGUACUUCACUCUCAGGGCCUGGAGGUGCUGCCUCUCCCCCACCAGAAACAUUCAUCAGCAGAAGCAAAAAUCCUUGGUAACUAUGUCAAGCUAACAUUCAACCAGUCUCAAACUGACUUUCUAAAACAUUCUUAUUAGUUUUCUGCAUAAAUGCAAUAUAUUCAAGAGAUUCAAUCCUUACACGAACACCACUAAACUGUGC
RNAcentral lists this long non-coding RNA (721 nucleotides) under Fukomys damarensis (Damara mole-rat). Its description in RNAcentral is "lncRNA (ENSFDAG00000028891.1)". The record is from RNAcentral. Lineage: Eukaryota; Metazoa; Chordata; Mammalia; Rodentia; Bathyergidae.